Molecule: ribosomal RNA, 301 nt
Filed under: uncultured bacterium
Lineage: Bacteria
Description: partial 16S ribosomal RNA
Rfam family: Bacterial small subunit ribosomal RNA
Source: RNAcentral
CAGUAGCCACGGUAAUACGGAGGGUGCAAGCGUUAAUCGGAAUUACUGGGCGUAAAGCGCACGCAGGCGGUCUGACAAGUCAGAUGUGAAAUCCCCGGGCUUAACCUGGGAACUGCAUUUGAAACUGUCAGGCUGGAGUCUUGUAGAGGGGGGUAGAAUUCCAGGUGUAGCGGUGAAAUGCGUAGAGAUCUGGAGGAAUACCGGUGGCGAAGGUGGCCCCCUGGACAAAGACUGACGCUCAGGUGCGAAAGCGUGGGGAGCAAACAGGAUUAGAUACCCCGGUAGUCCCUGUCUCUUAUAU